RNAcentral lists this ribosomal RNA (492 nucleotides) under uncultured bacterium. Its description in RNAcentral is "partial 16S ribosomal RNA". It matches the Rfam family "Bacterial small subunit ribosomal RNA", at positions 29 to 507 of the family's 1533-position model. The record is from RNAcentral.
AGUGAACGCUGGCGGUAGGCCUAACACAUGCAAGUCGAACGGCAGCACAGUAAGAGCUUGCUCUUACGGGUGACGAGUGGCGGACGGGUGAGGAAUACAUCGGAAUCUACUUUUUCGUGGGGGAUAACGUAGGGAAACUUACGCUAAUACCGCAUACGACCUACGGGUGAAAGCAGGGGAUCUUCGGACCUUGCGCGAUCGAAUGAGCCGAUGUCGGAUUAGCUAGUUGGCGGGGUAAAGGCCCACCAAGGCGACGAUCCGUAGCUGGUCUGAGAGGAUGAUCAGCCACACUGGAACUGAGACACGGUCCAGACUCCUACGGGAGGCAGCAGUGGGGAACAUUGGACAAUGGGCGCAAGCCUGAUCCAGCCAUACCGCGUGGGUGAAGAAGGCCUUCGGGUUGUAAAGCCCUUUUGUUGGGAAAGAAAAGCAGCAGGUUAAUACCCCGCUGUUCUGACGGUACCCAAAGAAUAAGCACCGGCUAACUUCGUG